Molecule: ribosomal RNA, 484 nt
Filed under: uncultured bacterium
Lineage: Bacteria
Description: partial 16S ribosomal RNA
Rfam family: Bacterial small subunit ribosomal RNA
Source: RNAcentral
AUUGAACGCUGGCGGCAGGCCUAACACAUGCAAGUCGAGCGGAUGAAGGGAGCUUGCUCCUGGAUUCAGCGGCGGACGGGUGAGUAAUGCCUAGGAAUCUGCCUGGUAGUGGGGGAUAACGUCCGGAAACGGGCGCUAAUACCGCAUACGUCCUGAGGGAGAAAGUGGGGGAUCUUCGGACCUCACGCUAUCAGAUGAGCCUAGGUCGGAUUAGCUAGUUGGUGGGGUAAAGGCCUACCAAGGCGACGAUCCGUAACUGGUCUGAGAGGAUGAUCAGUCACACUAGAACUGAGACACGGUCCAGACUCCUACGGGAGGCAGCAGUGGGGAAUAUUAGACAAUGGGCGAAAGCAUGAUCCAGCCGUGCCGAGUGUGUGAAGAAGGUCUUCGGAUUGUAAAGCACUUUAAGUUGGGAGGAAGGGCAGUAAGUUAAUACCUUGCUGUUUUGACGUUACCAACAGAAUAAGCACCGGCUAACUUCGUG